Long non-coding RNA from Scophthalmus maximus (turbot), 454 nucleotides. RefSeq lists it as uncharacterized. NCBI's taxonomy places the organism in Eukaryota, Metazoa, Chordata, Actinopteri, Pleuronectiformes, Scophthalmidae. The record is from RefSeq and is a predicted model, not a curated record. The transcript has 3 exons.
CGAAGAAGAAUUCCACGGUCUGAGCCAAUCAGAGGCAGAGAAGAGGCAGGCCUACGUCUCUGAUCCUGGUAACUAACUAACUGAGUCUGGAGCCUGCUGAUGGCUGAUGUGACAGUGUGCACACAAAGGAGAGAGAAACCGAGAGCUGAAACCGAACCAAGUGGGAGGAAGGAGGAACAGCCAAUGGACCAAAGGGGAUAAUGCAUCUCGAGACGAGGGAGGUGGAAAGCAGGCAGGAGAGAGAUGUGUUGACGCUUGACCCUGACAUCCUGAGUGAACGGCUCCUGGCUUCUGUUUUCACCGACCAAGGAGCUGAGGCUGCAGGUAACAGCGGCAGGUUCAGGUCCGCCACCCGGCGCUGGAGGGACGACCGCAACUGAACCGAGUUCCUCUUUGAUCCUCCCGCUGUCCCUCUCUCUCCUGCGGCUCCGGCUCCUGGCAGGUCUCUCCUCUU